This is a small nuclear RNA of Ailuropoda melanoleuca (giant panda), 190 nucleotides long. Its record names the gene U2. It matches the Rfam family "U2 spliceosomal RNA". From Rfam's summary of the family: U2 is a small nuclear RNA (snRNA) component of the spliceosome (involved in pre-mRNA splicing). The record is from Ensembl. NCBI's taxonomy places the organism in Eukaryota, Metazoa, Chordata, Mammalia, Carnivora, Ursidae.
AUUGCUUCUCGGCCUUUUAGCAAAGAUCAAGUGUAGUAUCUGUUCUUAUAAGUUUAAUAUCUGAUACGUCCUCUAUCCAGGACAACGUAUUCAACGGAUUUUUGGAGCAGGGUGAUGGAAUAGGACCUUGCCUGGUCCAUUCUACACACGGACUUUGUAUUGCGGUAUUUCCAGGAAUGGUGCACCCCCC